GGGUGGUUAGCUCAGUUGGUAGAGCGUCUCGCUUACACCGAGAAUGUCGGCGGUUCGAACCCGUCACCACCCACCA
RNAcentral lists this transfer RNA (76 nucleotides) under Stagnihabitans tardus. RNAcentral describes it as "tRNA-Val". It matches the Rfam family "tRNA". Rfam says of the family: Transfer RNA (tRNA) molecules are approximately 80 nucleotides in length. Their secondary structure includes four short double-helical elements and three loops (D, anti-codon, and T loops). The record is from RNAcentral. RNAcentral also lists the same sequence under 1 other name. Lineage: Bacteria; Pseudomonadati; Pseudomonadota; Alphaproteobacteria; Rhodobacterales; Paracoccaceae.